Molecule: ribosomal RNA, 320 nt
Filed under: Allapsidae sp.
Lineage: Eukaryota; Cercozoa; Glissomonadida; Viridiraptoridae
Description: SSU rRNA
Rfam family: Eukaryotic small subunit ribosomal RNA (bases 102-320)
Source: RNAcentral
GAUUUCUGGUUUGGCGCGCCGCUCCCGGCUCCGCUCGGAGACGUGUGGGUUGUGUGCGCCUUCCAUCCUUCUAGUUAACCGUCAGAACUUCACUGGGCUGGCGGCGAUCUAGAUCUUUUACUUUGAAAAAAUUAGAGUGUUUCAAGCAGGCUUUAUGCUAUGAAUACAUUAGCAUGGAAUAAUAAUUUAGGACUUCGGUUCUAUUUUGUUGGUUUCUAGGACUGAAGUAAUGAUUGAUAGGGAUAGUUGGGGGUGCUAGUAUUCAGCGGCCAGAGGUGAAAUUCUCGGAUUCGCUGAAGACUAACUUAUGCGAAAGCAUU